Molecule: ribosomal RNA, 324 nt
Filed under: Escherichia coli
Lineage: Bacteria; Pseudomonadati; Pseudomonadota; Gammaproteobacteria; Enterobacterales; Enterobacteriaceae
Description: partial 23S ribosomal RNA
Rfam family: Bacterial large subunit ribosomal RNA
Source: RNAcentral
AAGACCAAGGGUUCCUGUCCAACGUUAAUCGGGGCAGGGUGAGUCGACCCCUAAGGCGAGGCCGAAAGGCGUAGUCGAUGGGAAACAGGUUAAUAUUCCUGUACUUGGUGUUACUGCGAAGGGGGGACGGAGAAGGCUAUGUUGGCCGGGCGACGGUUGUCCCGGUUUAAGCGUGUAGGCUGGUUUUCCAGGCAAAUCCGGAAAAUCAAGGCUGAGGCGUGAUGACGAGGCACUACGGUGCUGAAGCAACAAAUGCCCUGCUUCCAGGAAAAGCCUCUAAGCAUCAGGUAACAUCAAAUCGUACCCCAAACCGACACAGGUGGU